UUUUUUUUUUUUCGGUUUUGAGUGCACAGUCAUUGAUGAGCAACCAGGGCUAUAUAUAAAAUUUUUAUUUUCUCUGAAAUUUAUCCCUCAAAUUUGUUGGCUACUCACAGGGAGUCUAUUUCGGAUAGCUAGUAUUUAUAGACAGCUCUCUGUGAGCUUUACAUAAUAUUAACUCGUAGUCCUAUGAGGUAGACACUAAUGUUAUCCCUCUUAAGACAAGGAUUUGGGGCACUGAAAUGUGAAGUAACUGGAAUAAGUUCCCUUGGAACUGGCCCCAGGCCACUGCUCCAUCACUUCAGUAAGAACGACUACAAAUUUACUCCAGAUUCAUAAACCGAUGAGCGGUCAAGUCUGGAAGAAGUCAUCUUUCUCCAGAACCUGCGAACCCAGAACCGUUUAUUUAAGUGAUUUUAAAUUUAACAUUGAGGAGAGACUUCUGUAGUAGUAACAGCAGCGGAUCUCUACACGGAUGCCCAAAGAACUCUUCAAGGCUGCAGUGUCUGCGCCAAAGAGGGCCCAUUUACCCAGAAGUCAGUGCGGCAGAACCCAAUUCAAAGUGCAGACCGCAUCUCGGAGGACCUGUAGACCUCUUGUCUCUGCCCCUGGAUGGUUCAUUUAAACUCUGAAAGUUGUGUUGCCAAACCUAUUUAAGAAGCACGAUGGUUAGACCCAAAGAUGAAUAAAACUUGUCCCUUGGAUCCCAAAAGCCUACUUGAGGGGCCGAAUAGAUAUACUGCAUCUUCAUCAGCAUGUGGCACAGAUUAUUAAAACCUCCUCCAGUUUGAGUUCACGGAAAACUGCUUCUCCUGGGUUCUUUUUAGUUAUUAAUUUCAUUUAUAUUUACUUAAAUAUCCUUCCAAAUAUAUUUACUCUCCUGGCUAAGCAGUUAGGUCUCAUUUUUUUUUUCUCCAAGCGUCGGUAUUUUUUUUUAAACAAGUUUCCACUCCCUGCCCAAUAAAUCUUCACACUUCCUGUCUGAUACUCUUACUGUUUCUUCACAGACCAUUAAGAAAAGCUGUUCAGUCCACCCCAAACGGGAGCCCCGUCACCUCUGUAGGACCUUCCCUCGAGGGAGGCUGGCGGUGCUCUUGUUUCCCAUCAUUUAUUAUGCCCUCGGUCUGUGUGCAAGCCAAAGUCACUGUGUUUUGUGAAGGAAAUUGUGCGAGACGUUCUUCCGAACGCUCUAAUAAAAUUCAAAUAUAUCACAUCUGCUCCUCUCUCUUAAAACAGCCAUCUUGUAAUUCUAUCUGAAAAGCAAUCAAAUUUGGUGUGCCUUUUUUUUUUCCCUUCAUAAAAGCUCAGCUUUUUAUUACUUUUGGGUUUAUUACCGCUAGAUGUUACACUUUUUUUUUGCUCUCAGUAUUGCAAACUUGCCGAAUUGUGAUUGCCAGGGUCUCUUUCAUUGUUUGAACAUGGGAGUUCUCUUCUUGCCGCUUGUUCUGCAGUGACUAAAUAUUUGGGUUCUUACUGACUAUGUUUCUUACAUGAGCUAGUUUCGUUUUUUGGGUUUUUUUUCCCCCUAGAGGAAAAGCGUGUAAGGCCAGGGUAGUACGGUAUGAGAAGCAGAAGCUGUCUCCCAUCGCCUGUCACCUGGCAUCUCAUAUUAAGCCACAGGGCUCUCCUGUGUCCCAGUGCCCUGUGACUGCUGGCCUUUUCCGGCCUUCCACAAACUGUAAAUCCCAAAGAUGGGAGGUGGAAGACCACUGACUCAAAUCAUCAUGGCCAAAUUAAAGCAAGCAAUUUUAUUCAGCGUCUGAGCUUUGGAUGUGAGGAAGGCAAGGCUUCUAUGGCUCAGGGGUAGCGGGGUUCCAAAUAGGGGGUGUACUGGCUGCUUUUGUGUGUCAACAUGACACAAGCUGAAGUUAUCACAGAGAUAGGAGCCUCCCUUGAGGAAAUGCCACCAUGAGAUUCAGCUGUAAGGCAUUUUCUCAGUUAGUGAUCAAAGGGGGCAACCUAGCCCAUUGUGGGUACCAUCCCUGGGCUGGUGGUCCUGAAUUCUAUAAGAGAGCAAGCUGAGCAAGCCACAGGAAGCAAGCCAGUAAGCAGCAUCCCUUCUAUGGCCUCUACAUCAGCUCCUGCCUCCAGGUUCCUGCCCUUUGUGAGUUUCAGUCCUGACUUCCUUUGGUGAUGAACAGCAAUGUGGAUGUGUAAGCUGAAUGAACCCUUUCCUCCAGCUUGCUUCUUGGUCCUGAUGUUUUGUGCAGGAACAGAAACACUGACUAAGACAGGGGGUCUGGGGUGAAAAUAAGUGAGAUCAUAACAAGUUAGUCCUUACAGCCUCUGAAAACAAAGAUAUGUUUGCAAAUCAGAUAUGACAAGUUAACCAUAACAACAGGCGAUCAUAACAAGGUAAUCCCAGGUAGUGACCUUUUGAAACAAAGGUAGGGUUGCAAGAUGGUUAUUAACAACUUUUUGAAACAAAGACGUGAUUGCCAUUCCUGGAACAGGCAGUACAGAACCAUUGGUAGUUAUGGUUACAGCUGGGGCAUAGCACAAUCCUUAAGAAACAGAGGUUUAGCCAUCAACAGGAAUGGACCUUAGUUUGUUUUUACUAUAAGAUGGCUUUUAAGCCGAAGAUAGAGGCAGGCUGGUUCUUCAAAACCACUAACAUUAGCUCCUGGGUUUUGCUGCCCUUGAGAAGCCAGGACACAUUAGGCCAUGUCUGGUUGCCUGUUCCCAUUUUCUCACGCUUCUGUUUAUUGAUGAGUAGUUACAUUUGUAUCUCUCGACAGUGCACUUUUCUCAGCAGCAUAUGAAGUAUUCUUUGAGUCUUUGAGUUCCUGAACUUCAUGAGGAGGGCAUUGUUUUUAAGCCGGGCACUAACAAUUGCCCCCUGAUGCCUUCCCCCAAGUGAGCAUUUGCCUAACCAAGUCUGUGUCAAGAUGUAGCCCUCUCCACUUGGAAAGGGCUCUGCUUCUACAUUUUCUACUUCUUCCCCGAUAAUAAACUCGGGAAUAAAUACCCAUUUCUUGCCAC
This 2976-nucleotide long non-coding RNA is filed under the name Mus musculus (house mouse). Its description in RNAcentral is "long non-coding RNA chr10:90851098-90854074". Lineage: Eukaryota; Metazoa; Chordata; Mammalia; Rodentia; Muridae. The record is from RNAcentral.